UACGGAGGGGGCUAGCGUUGUUCGGAAUUACUGGGCGUAAAGCGCGCGUAGGCGGACCUGCAAGUCGGGGGUGAAAGCCCGAGGCUCAACCUUGGAAUUGCCUUUGAUACUGAUUGUCUUGAGUUUGGGAGAGGUGUGUGGAACUCCGAGUGUAGAGGUGAAAUUCGUAGAUAUUCGGAAGAACACCAGUGGCGAAGGCGACACACUGGCCCAAUACUGACGCUGAGGCUCGAAAGCGUGGGGAGCAAACAGG
RNAcentral lists this ribosomal RNA (253 nucleotides) under uncultured bacterium. RNAcentral describes it as "partial 16S ribosomal RNA". It matches the Rfam family "Bacterial small subunit ribosomal RNA", at positions 524 to 776 of the family's 1533-position model. The record is from RNAcentral.